Molecule: transfer RNA, 87 nt
Filed under: Candidatus Faecimorpha stercoravium
Lineage: Bacteria; Bacillati; Bacillota; Clostridia; Eubacteriales
Also listed under: 1 other name
Description: tRNA-Leu
Rfam family: tRNA
About the family: Transfer RNA (tRNA) molecules are approximately 80 nucleotides in length. Their secondary structure includes four short double-helical elements and three loops (D, anti-codon, and T loops).
Source: RNAcentral
GCAGUUAUGGCGGAAUUGGUAUACGCGCUAGACUAAGGAUCUAGUGUCCAUUUUAGCGACUUGUGGGUUCGAGUCCCACUAACUGCA